CUACGGGAGGCAGCAGUAGGGAAUCUUCCGCAAUGGACGAAAGUCUGACGGAGCAACGCCGCGUGAGCGAUGAAGGCCUUCGGGUCGUAAAGCUCUGUUGUCAGGGAAGAACAAGUACCGGAGUAACUGCCGGUACCUUGACGGUACCUGACCAGAAAGCCACGGCUAACUACGUGCCAGCAGCCGCGGUAAUACGUAGGUGGCAAGCGUUGUCCGGAAUUAUUGGGCGUAAAGCGCGCGCAGGCGGUCCUUUAAGUCUGAUGUGAAAGCCCACGGCUCAACCGUGGAGGGUCAUUGGAAACUGGGGGACUUGAGUGCAGAAGAGGAAAGCGGAAUUCCACGUGUAGCGGUGAAAUGCGUAGAGAUGUGGAGGAACACCAGUGGCGAAGGCGGCUUUCUGGUCUGUAACUGACGCUGAGGCGCGAAAGCGUGGGGAGCAAACAGGAUUAGAUACCCUGGUAGUCCACGCCGUAAACGAUGAGUGCUAAGUGUUAGGGGGUUUCCGCCCCUUAGUGCUGCAGCUAACGCAUUAAGCACUCCGCCUGGGGAGUACGGCCGCAAGGCUGAAACUCAAAGGAAUUGACGG
Molecule: ribosomal RNA, 586 nt
Filed under: uncultured bacterium
Lineage: Bacteria
Description: bacterial SSU rRNA
Rfam family: Bacterial small subunit ribosomal RNA
Source: RNAcentral